AUACGUGGUUUGGCUUCAUUAGGACAGUGUCAGCUUCCCUCUGCAUCUAUUACUGACAUUUCCAGGACCCACUGUCCUGCCUUCUGCCUCUCUUCUCCCAGGAAAAGAUCUUAAGAGGCUGUGAUGGCUGCUUUAUUGGCGGCUUAGGCUAUUUGAUGUUGCUGAUGAUGGAGCUGGAGGCUGGGCUGGACGAUGGUCCGAGGACAGCGACCACCCCCUUGGGGAGGAUCUGACACACUGCAGCCAGCGGCAGGGACAGGGAAAGAAGCAAAGCACUCAUCAGAUACAAAAUCAACAGAGAGAAAUUAAAGAGCAGAGUCAAGAUUCAACAGCUCCACCCAUUUCCCCAAAGACCGGCCCCUUAACCACUGCACCGCACAGCCAUCCCCAGCAAAUGGCAAUUAACUGGGAUGUUUG
Molecule: long non-coding RNA, 417 nt
Filed under: Homo sapiens (human)
Lineage: Eukaryota; Metazoa; Chordata; Mammalia; Primates; Hominidae
Description: non-protein coding lnc-TRIM29-46:1
Source: RNAcentral